CCUGGUGUGGUGGCACAUGCCUGUAAUCCCAGCAUCUGGGGAGGGUGAGGCAGGAGGAUCACAAUUUCAAGGCCAAGUGAGACCCUGUCUCAA
This 93-nucleotide small RNA is filed under the name Marmota monax (woodchuck). The record is from RNAcentral. Lineage: Eukaryota; Metazoa; Chordata; Mammalia; Rodentia; Sciuridae.